UGGGGAAUUUUGGACAAUGGGCGAAAGCCUGAUCCAGCAAGGCCGCGUGAGUGAAGAAGGCCUUCGGGUUGUAAAGCUCUUUUGUCAGGGAAGAAACGGUGAAAGCUAAUAUCUUUUGCUAAUGACGGUACCUGAAGAAUAAGCACCGGCUAACUACGUGCCAGCAGCCGCGGUAAUACGUAGGGUGCAAGCGUUAAUCGGAAUUACUGGGCGUAAAGCGUGCGCAGGCGGUUUUGUAAGUCUGAUGUGAAAUCCCCGGGCUCAACCUGGGAAUUGCAUUGGAGACUGCAAGGCUAGAAUCUGGCAGAGGGGGGUAGAAUUCCACGUGUAGCAGUGAAAUGCGUAGAUAUGUGGAGGAACACCGAUGGCGAAGGCAGCCCCCUGGGUCAAGAUUGACGCU
Molecule: ribosomal RNA, 400 nt
Filed under: uncultured bacterium
Lineage: Bacteria
Description: bacterial SSU rRNA
Rfam family: Bacterial small subunit ribosomal RNA
Source: RNAcentral